ACAGAAUAAACCAGAAAUUCGGCAUCAACAAAAUAACAGAACGGUCAUUCAUUAAAUUAAUUAUAGGCAGCCUCAGUCUCAACAACAAUUUGCUACGUUAUUUUUGUCUGCCUAAUGAAAUAGGUUAGUUAAGUUUAAAAUAUAUUUUGGUCACAGCGUGCCAGAAACACUUCACAACCAUGAAGUCAUGUGCUGCAUUGAUACAGAAGAUUGCAGAUUAUCUUUCCACUACUAAGCAAGCUCUAACUUGAUAAAAUUGUGAAGUAAAUUCAAAGUUUAAUACUUCAUCCUCCCAAUAAUUUAUUCUCCGAGUCAUUAUUGCCCUGUACAAUUAUAAUUUCCAGAUUAUUCAGUGGUAUCCACAACCAUAGGCUUAAGAUCGGUAGGUAGUAUUCCCCAAUUUCAAGCACCAACAUAUUAAUUUAUGGAUUCUUUCCAAUAUGAGAAAACAAUGUUCCUAAUAUAUCAGUAGCAGGUUUGCACGGAUUAUAAAAAAUCCCAAACAGUAUAAUUCUCAUCUACAUGGCUUCCUAUGAAACCAAACAGUAUAAUUCUCAUCUACAUGGCUUCCUAUGAAACCAUCAAGUACUUUCCCGCAAGAAAAUCUAACUUUAUACAUCCAUAUGCCGAGAAAUUCAAACAAUUUAAAUUUGAUGUUCAAAAUUAAAACUGCAUUUCAAACAAUUAAAAUCUUGAACAUUUCCAGGACUUAGCUAGAAAAUAACAAUUCCCAAACCAGAUGGAACAUGCAAAACACAUUUCUCAAAUCCACUUAAACAAGGAAAUAAAGAAUCCAAGAUCAAUUUCUUAGAAUCACCAAAAAAUAAGCAAAAAAUUACAGACCUG
RNAcentral lists this long non-coding RNA (846 nucleotides) under Olea europaea (common olive). RNAcentral's name for it is "long non-coding RNA (OEUR_LNC002514)". The record is from RNAcentral. Lineage: Eukaryota; Viridiplantae; Streptophyta; Magnoliopsida; Lamiales; Oleaceae.